Molecule: long non-coding RNA, 1112 nt
Organism: Marmota monax (woodchuck)
Lineage: Eukaryota; Metazoa; Chordata; Mammalia; Rodentia; Sciuridae
Exons: 3
Source: RefSeq, a predicted model, not a curated record
CUGCAAAGACCAAAGUAUCACAGCUAUUUGCUUUAUUGUUUUAUUUGCACCAGGCCACUCCUGGCUUCUGGGGUGCUACAGAGUCCUCUUCCAGCAUAGAUUUGGCAAAAUUCCAUUCUGGAACCAUAUUGCAGUACCAGGAAACUCACAGACAUUACCAGUUCUGGGACCAGACCUCACCUCUGUUGUGUCUGCUCAUCUUUAAUGGACUUCUAGGUAAUGACGGAAUGGAGCUCAUAAAACGAUCUCAUGGUCCCUGAAGCAUCCUUCUCCUAUCCAUCUCCAUUCUCUUUCUCCAACUGAACCAUGCUCAAGGGAAAGCUCUCUGUGGAAGAAAGCAUACCACCCAGAAGAGGUUCCAGCAUUUAUUUAUAGUGUGGAACUGUGCUCAUCCAUUUCUUUGUGAUAUGUGUCACUCAUCCAACUACCUACAUCAUCAACUCCUUAAACAUAACUGUAUUAUUCAGUGUUUUGGGCAGUUUUGUCAAAAGUAUUUAUCAUUGUUAAAAAUAAAGUGAACCCAAAGGGCUUAAAAUCAUCAUACUACAGUAAUAUAAUGCAACCACGUCAAUGUUUAUAGCAGCUCCAUUCACAAGAGCUAAACUAUGGAACCAACCUAGGUAUCCUUCCAUAGAUGAAUGGACAAAAAAAAUGUGGUAUAUAUAUUUUUAAUGGAAUAUUACUCAGCUUUAAAGAAAAAUGAAAUUAUGGCAUUUACCAGUAAAUGGACGAAGUUGGAGAGUAUCAUGCUAAGUGAAAUAAGCCAAUCCCCCGAAAACAAAGGCUGAAUGUUUUCUCUAAUAUGUGGAUGCUAAUUCACAAAAAGUGUGGGGGGGGCACUAGAGAAGAAUAGAGUUACCUUAGAUUAGGUAGAGAAAAUGAAAGGAAGGAAGGGGAGGGGAUAUGGGAUUAGGAAAGAUAGUAGAACAAAACAGACAUUAUUACUUUGUGUAUAUAUAUGACUGCAUGACCAAUGUGAUUCUAUAACAUGUACACUCAGAAAAAUGAGAAAUUAUAUCCCAUCUAUGUAUGAUAUAUCAAAGUGCAUAAAUGUAUCCUACAUUUAUAACUAAUUAAAACAAAUAAAAAAUUAAAAAGGUAAAAAAAUAAAG